CCACACAAUAAAUCUUUCAGCAGUGAGAAAUUAAGAGACGAAAGGUACUGCUUGGGGUAUAAUUUAUUUGGACCCAUUACUUUAGAGUGAGCGCGGAAACAUUGGGAGCAGACAUGAAGUAGCCUGCAGGCACUGUAACCACAAGUGCCCGUAUUAAAGUUAUUACAUACUUGUGACUUUCCCAGAAACACUAUAUCGCGGCCCAGUUUAUCCUUAAGGACCUUGCCUGGUCUCCC
Non-coding RNA from Pelobates cultripes (western spadefoot toad), 236 nucleotides. The record is from the annotation of a GenBank genome assembly. Lineage: Eukaryota; Metazoa; Chordata; Amphibia; Anura; Pelobatidae.